AGAGAACAUCCCUGGUCAUCCCUACUGACUCUGCUCUGGCAGACUCACUAAACAGAGAACAUCCCUGGUCAUCCCUACUGACUCUGCUCUGGCAGACUCACUAAACAGAGAACAUCCCUGGUCAUCCCUACUGACUCUGCUCUGGCAGACUCACUAAACAGAGAACAUCCCUGGUCAUCCCUACUGACUCUGCUCUGGCAGACUCAAUAAACAUAAAUUAUUUGUUUGUAAAUGCUGUCUGACUAUCCGGCUAUCCGUACAUUUCAAAAAACAAGAAAAUUGUGCCGUCUGGUUUGCUUAGUAUAAGAACAUUUUAAUUAUUCAAACUUAUAUUUGAACAAUUACCUCAAAGUUGUAUCUUUCCAUAAUUCCUCUCCGUGUAAAUAGAUUCCCACUAAUAUGAACUAAUUGGCGCACAAGGACAAUGUUGUUCGAGAACCAGAUACUCCCUCGCGAGAGAGAAGCCUGUUGAGAUACUCCCUCUUUGCGCAUGUGUUCCAAGUGGCUGUCAGGUAAAGUAGACGAUAUCAGACAACAGGAUUCUUAGGGAAAGUGGGUGUUGAACGUUUUCUUCACUUUUAUAGAUCACGUCAAAUGUUAUCCAGGAACUUUCUGAAGUAAUAUUAGGCUACAUGAGACGUUUAUUUGUUCUAACUUAUUUACGUUUUGAUAUUUAAAUAGAUGUUUGAUUGCUCUGGUCUAGGGGCGCAUCAGUCGCAGCCUUGAGAAUCGAUUUUUUUUCUCAGCAACUCCCUAGUCAUUAUCUGAACACUACAACAAAAGUAGUUCAACUGUACUGUACCCUACAACAUGUCAUGCCAUACAAAUAAACAAUAGCUUCCACAAUGGAUCGGGAAAACACCGGGGCAGAGCGGAACUGAGAGAGGAGAAGAGGAACAUGGAGAUGUGAUUUCAUUACGUAAGAACCAUGGGGACGACUGAAAACAACAAAACCUCUGGAUUACAUGGCUAAAAUAGGCAAGCAGCGCCAGCUAACAUCUUUUGCUCGAGUCCGGGGACAUCCCUAAUCGUUGCUCUCUCAGUGGGAAGGGCUUAUCAUCUGGGGCACCUCAACAACAUCAUGAUGCUG
This is a long non-coding RNA of Oncorhynchus nerka (sockeye salmon), 1090 nucleotides long. RefSeq lists it as uncharacterized. The record is from RefSeq and is a predicted model, not a curated record. Lineage: Eukaryota; Metazoa; Chordata; Actinopteri; Salmoniformes; Salmonidae. The transcript is spliced from 4 exons.